Molecule: long non-coding RNA, 1297 nt
Filed under: Malus domestica (apple)
Lineage: Eukaryota; Viridiplantae; Streptophyta; Magnoliopsida; Rosales; Rosaceae
Description: long non-coding RNA (MDOM_LNC009241)
Source: RNAcentral
UUGGAUGUAGUGGAUGUUAUUGAGGAAGGCUCAGGCUAGAGGGUUGUGGAUUGGAUGACCCCCUGAAGGCAACCACCACACAGCCAGUUGUAGCCCCUACGAGGUUGAUACUGUUGUUUUUGGCCAUCUGGGUCGUAAGCCUGGUAGGUCAUGACUUGUCGUUGCUACGACAAGGCAGGUUAAUGGGUAGGAAUGAGCUGAGGCUGUAAGGCAGGACGAUACUACAGCAUGGCCUGCAUUCUCAAGGCGAGUUUAAGCUUCAAAGGUGAGAAUGUUGGAUUGGAAAUCUAAGAAUUCUGGCAAAAGAGGAAAAUUCAGAACGGCAAUGACAAACAUCGAAUAAUUAGCCCCAAGGACCUUAAGCACAGAGUUCACCAAAUCGUUAUUAGAAACUGGUUGAUUAAUAGCAGCAAAAGAAUCAGCAAUGAACUUAGCCUAUUGAAAGCCGAGAUUGGUGGCAUUGGCAAUAUAAGCUUGAGAAAAGUGAGCAUGGAAAGUCCCAGAUAACUUGUGAAAGCUGCCAAGGGUAAGAGACAAAAUUGGCUAAGAGAUGGUGGAAGUCAAAUAACUGACAACCAAUUGAUCUGUUUGAAACCACGCAGCAAAAACCAAACUCUGUUGAGAGGGCUCCUUGUCAAUAGUAGGAAGGUUGGUAGCAAGGGCCGAGAUAGAACCAUCGACAAAGCCAAAUAAAUUAUGACCUAGAAGAAAUGACAUCAUCUGACUAAGCCAAAGAAGAUAAUUAGAACUAGUGAGUUUCAGAUGGUGUGCAACAUUAGGACGAGAGAUGAGGAUCGGAAGAGGAAGAGGAAAAGGCAACUUGAAAAGCCAUGGUGGAGAGGGAAAGGCAUGGCAAGAAUUUUGGGGGGAGGGGGGUGUUCACGGCAAGGUUUUAGGGAAAGGGGGUCACGGCAAGGAUGUGAGAAAGAGAGAUUUUGAGGGCUAGAGUUUGACUAGGAAAGGGGAAAUCUAAACGAGUGAUACCAUGUAAAAUUGUAAUUCUAUUGAUUUCAUUUGAUAACACAUGGUACAAAUACAUACUAGUAAAGUGAUUUGUUGUACUUUGACAAAAAAUGAGUGAUUUGUUAUACAAGUAAAUCUAAGCUCACAAGAAUUUACAUAACCUUACCUAGCCCAACAAAAUCCUAACUGGAAUUCUCCUAUAGAGUGAUGCGAAAUAUAUAAGCACACAAAUUAAACCCUCUUUUUAUCAAUUGUAGCAAAGUAUGUAAGUAGGGAUCGUUCUAGACUGGGGAUUAGGAGGGAUUGCUAAAUCACUUGAAAACUGACUCAAAUA